Stegodyphus dumicola is the source of this 1847-nucleotide long non-coding RNA. The record is from RefSeq and is a predicted model, not a curated record. NCBI's taxonomy places the organism in Eukaryota, Metazoa, Arthropoda, Arachnida, Araneae, Eresidae.
GGAGCCAGUUCUUUCGCAACGGAAAAUGAAUUAGUAAUUUCUGCCAAAUUUUGCCUUGUAACGUAAUGAAAUCAUAAACACCUUUGCAAACUAAGCAGAUGCUCAUAGAGAAUUUUUACGCGUUAAACAAGAACCAGCUUUUUGCAGAAUUUAAUAAAUAUGUGUCACGUUUUCGUGUUAUUUGAAAGGCCUUUUUCGUCAACAAUCUUGUCAAUAAAUAUUCGCAAAAAAAGUGAAAAAGGUUCCUAUAACCUUAGUUAUAGGAAAUUCGAACUAAAUACGUAUCUGCCUGUGCGACUGGGAUGACAUUGGACCAAUGCUCUAAAAAUGAGCUUGAAUCUUCUAUAAAAACAUUGAUUAAUAAGAUUCCUUCUAGAAUCCCCCAGAUGUAACUCAGACUAGCUUUUAUGUAACUCAGACUGGCAGAUGUAACUCAGACUAGCUUUUAUGUAACUCAGACUGGUAACAAAAACUGGCAGAUGUAUGUUUUAUGUAACUCAGACUGGUAUAUGAAAGGAUCAAGCGAUAAUCAUUGGCACGGAAUAUCAAGACACUGUUAACCAGUUAUGCAAUAUUCAAUGGAUGUAACUGAAUAUGUGCGAAAAAUAAUGUAGCAAAAUAUAUAUAAAUUCAUGGUGUGAUGAAAAAUGGUAAUAUUACAAUGCUACAUAAUAUGGUUGGACAUAAAACAAAAGGAAAAAACACAAGAGAAGGAAGACAUGGAAAGAAGAAAUCCCUGUGUUUUUUUACAAUCUUAACAGCUCAUGCCAUUUUAGAAAAAAAAAUUAGAAACACCUUUUAUGUCUACACUAUAAUAAUGCAAAGUAAUAUUUGCAAUGCAGCGUAUUUUCUUUUCCUGUUGAGAUAUAAAUGUUAAAUAAUUAAUUAACAAAGGUGCAUCUGAACAUAAAUAUGACUAUGUGCUAAUUCCGACAAAUAAGCAUUUUGGCAACUUCACUGGAACAUUUUUCAUUAUGUUUGAUGAUCCGAGAAGAUCCAAAACAAGGUGAAAUCAGUGGAGAGGCAUUUUCAUGUGAAGGCACUGGAAACAACUGCAUAGAUGAGCUCAUUGCUCUGGAUUUGAAAUGCAAUAUCUCUGCAAUUGCACACUGUGAUAUACAGGAUUAAACCGAUAUUAUCAUUUGGAGCAUAGGACUAUGUUAAUAUAGAAAAACCAUCUCUACAAGUAAAUUUUCCAGGUGCUUGGAGCUGUUGCACCAUCGAAAAAAGGAAUAAUUAACGUAUCAUAAAAAACAAUUCCGCUUCUAAUAUGCAAAAACAUAAAAACUCUGCCACCAAUGCACCGAAUUUCAGCCACUCUACGGCAAGACAGAGUUGUAGUGGUGUAGAAGACAUUAAGCCCUUAGAAAGGAAAUCCUCAUACGUGGCCAUUCCUGUGGAUUCUGAAAAUGACGAUGUUGAAGAAUUUGAUCAUUUAGAUGAACUUAUAAUUUAUUUAGUGAGCUUUCUCAGGCGUCUUCGAAAGACAUAUAUACUUUUAAAAGGAAGUGAAGACAAAAAUUAAAGUGUCCAUUCUUGCGAUUUUUCUGUCAGAGAAACUAAGAAAAAGAUUUUAAAAAAUUCUCAACUGUAAGGCAAUGAAUAUAAUUAUCAAAUGCAUUCAUGUAUUAAAAAAUCUUCACAAGUAUACCCUGAACUAUUUGCUUACAAGCACGGAAUUUUGCUUCUAUAAUCUCCUGUAAUAUUGCCGUGUAUCAACGCGCAAUAAAAAUUUUUUUUUUUUACUAUUUAUUUCACAAUAAAAGGGACAGGAAUUUUAUAGGGUUUUUUUUUUCAUUGUAUAUCAGAAUAAAUGUAAUAUUUUGUAAUAAAUAAAUAAAUAUAAA